GAAAAGAUGGCUCAGUGGUAGAGCAUCUGCUUGUCAGGCAGAAGCGCCCGGGUUCAAUCCUUGUCUUUUCC
RNAcentral lists this transfer RNA (71 nucleotides) under Sphaerodactylus townsendi. Its description in RNAcentral is "tRNA-Asp". It matches the Rfam family "tRNA". From Rfam's summary of the family: Transfer RNA (tRNA) molecules are approximately 80 nucleotides in length. Lineage: Eukaryota; Metazoa; Chordata; Lepidosauria; Squamata; Sphaerodactylidae. The record is from RNAcentral.